CCCUCUAUGCCUGCCCAAUAUACCUUCCUGUAGGAGAAAUUGCCUGCCAGCUUACCCAAUCACAGGUGUGCAAGCCAGCCUCCAUAAGCAUGCUUAGCAGGCACUUCCUCCCUGAGCGAAGCCUGCCUCUGUGCCCAGAGACUGCUGACAAAGAGACACCUGACCCAGAGAUACCAAUGAGGAAAGGACAAUGCAGCAGAGUCAGCUGUCUGAGCCAGUGGGACCUUGGGAGGAGGUAUAAAGGCGGGCCUAACUUCCUUAAUAAAUGAGUCUGCAGCACGCUCUGCCACUCACUGACUCCCAGUGCCUGAGUCGCUGGUGCUGUGUCUUCUCACCCCCUCCGCAAAGGAGUAUUUGAGCAGAAUCACCUUCAACACCUGGUACCUAUACGUGGGGCCAACCCCCCUUGAAUCAGGGUCUUCUUUUCCUUCGUUGAGGCUGUUUUUUGGGUCCUGAUCUUUGCCUUCUGUUGCUGACAGUGCAUGGGUGGAUCCUAAGUCAACCCACUUUUACUUCAACUAUCAGCACCCUUUCGGACUCCUCUUCAUGCUUGCUGCGCAUUUCUGCACCCCUGCUUCGGUGACUUGUCCGAGAAAAACAUCUGUCAUUGAACCUGGGAUUCACAAAUUUGGAUGCAUUGCCCAGCCAAGGUCUCCUGGGAAAGUCCAAGAAUCCAGUGACUGUUCAUUCCAGGAGCCUGGUUGUUUCGGCUGGACUUCAAUAAAUGCUGGAAUCCUGAAUAAGUAGGCACUAACGCCAAUGAAGGAAUUAACUUGCUAGUAAGAGCAGGGCCUGCCUUACAGGAAAAAGCUAAUGCCUAUAUUGUAAAUCUGGCCAAGAAACCAUACCUCGGGGACUCAUGGGACCCAGGAGUGAACCUACUAUUUCUAAUCUGCUAAAGUACCAUUAUACUCCCCUCUAAAUCAUCAUCUUUAUAAUCACAGCCUCAUCUCAGACUCAGAGGAUGGGCCAUUUAUCCUGGGCCCUGUGUAAAACUCUACUGCUGUGUGUAUUACAUAAACAAAGUGUGAGUCACUGCAAUGUUGGGGACUACUAUGGUGUAAACUGACACAAAUUUAUGAAUGAAACCCAAGCAAAUAGUCUCCCCAGUCUCAGGAUUUACAAGGAGAAGAACAGGUAUGCCACGAUUGGCUUACAUUAAUUGCUCUGAACAGUUAAUUCUAAACAAACUACUUUUCUGACACAUGAGGGAGAACAGUGAAAUGAAUAUUUUGGAGAGCAUUAAAAACAAACUGCGUGAUGAACAAAGGAUGCAAAUGCAAUUCCCCAAAAUGAGAUUGAUCCAGCAGUCAACAGAAAACUGAAGAUGAGCAUAGAACUAAUGGUUCAUAUGAUUCUGCUGAGCUUAAAACUAUCCAUCAUAACAUUAUAAUUCACAUAUAUUUUAAGUAAAUAAAAUGUAGUAACGGGAAUUAACACAUAUGGUCAAGUGAAACUUGAACCUUUUGACUUGUUUUUCUUGCUUUCAGUAGUAUGUAUCUAAAGGGUAUUUUGUAAAAAAACAAAUGUAACUCCACAAUAUUUUGUUUUCUGUCAUUUUUUGCAUCAUUUGACAUUUAAGCCUUCUUUUUCCAGAUGUGUGAACUCUGACAAAUGACACAAACAUUGUAUUAAUUGGGCCAGAGGCAUAACUCCAUUGAUGAAGUGAUUGUUGGACACAUGUAAGAAUGUUAAUUUGGAUUCUUACCAACUUCAUAUAGACAUGGAUGUGGCAGAGCUGAGGAGGCAGAGAAUACAAUAUCGCCUGGGUUUGCUGGCCAUAGACUCUAUCCUAUUAGUGAGGGACCUUGUCUCAAAAAUAUGAUGGGGAAUAACAGAGAAAGACAAAGACACUUCCAACAUCACCCUUUGGCCUCCAUAAACAAUAGGUACAGGCUUUAUCUCUCUCUCCUGCCUGCCCACCAUCAUGUAAGCCACUAAAACUUCUAUACUUAGUCACUAAAUAGUUUCUGUCUUAUAUAUAAUGUAGCUCAUACUGUGGUUGCUAUUUCAUUCUUUCUUUUCUUUUGAAUUUUUUGUAUCCUCCUUCAACUUUCCCCCCACCUCUACAUUUUCUGUUGUUUGCCAUGCUUCAUCUGGUGUUCAUAGUUAGCAAGCAGGGUGCUAUUAUAUAGACUUUGUUUAUUGUCUUGUGUCCUCUCACACAUUAGCCAUUGCUAUUUUGUACAGUCCAGCAUUUUUGUAUUGUCUAAAUAUUUGUUAUUAGUGUUGCUUUCCAUUCAUGUUUAAUGAUUGCCUUUUAUCUGAGUUCAUCUGUUAACACAUUCUUUUAUGGUUCAAUACAAAUCUUCUUUGUUUCUAA
Long non-coding RNA from Mesocricetus auratus (golden hamster), 2323 nucleotides. RefSeq lists it as uncharacterized. The record is from RefSeq and is a predicted model, not a curated record. Lineage: Eukaryota; Metazoa; Chordata; Mammalia; Rodentia; Cricetidae. The transcript has 6 exons.